UGGGGAAUAUUGCACAAUGGGCGCAAGCCUGAUGCAGCCAUGCCGCGUGUAUGAAGAAGGCCUUCGGGUUGUAAAGUACUUUCAGCGAGGAGGAAGGCAUUGUGGUUAAUAACCACAGUGAUUGACGUUACUCGCAGAAGAAGCACCGGC
This 150-nucleotide ribosomal RNA is filed under the name Hafnia sp. FBT4-2. RNAcentral describes it as "partial 16S ribosomal RNA". It matches the Rfam family "Bacterial small subunit ribosomal RNA", at positions 355 to 497 of the family's 1533-position model. Lineage: Bacteria; Pseudomonadati; Pseudomonadota; Gammaproteobacteria; Enterobacterales; Hafniaceae. The record is from RNAcentral.